AUGCACGCUGGCGGCGUGCCUAAUCCAUGCCAGUCGAGCGAACGGACGAGAAGCUUGCUUCUCUGAUGUUAGCGGCGGACGGGUGAGUAACACGUGGAUAACCUACCUAUAAGACUGGGAUAACUUCGGGAAACCGGAGCUAAUACCGGAUAAUAUUUUGAACCGCCUGGUUCAAAAGUGAAAGACGGUCUUGCUGUCACUUAUAGAUGGAUCCGCGCUGCAUUAGCUAGUUGGUAAGGUAACGGCUUACCAAGGCAACGAUGCAUAGCCGACCUGAGAGGGUGAUCGGCCACACUGGAACUGAGACACGGUCCAGACUCCUACGGGAGGCAGCAGUAGGGAAUCUUCCGCAAUGGGCGAAAGCCUGACGGAGCAACGCCGCGUGAGUGAUGAAGGUCUUCGGAUCGUAAAACUCUGUUAUUAGGGAAGAACAUAUGUGUAAGUAACUGUGCACAUCUUGACGGUACCUAAUCAGAAAGCCACGGCUAACUACGUG
RNAcentral lists this ribosomal RNA (496 nucleotides) under uncultured bacterium. Its description in RNAcentral is "partial 16S ribosomal RNA". It matches the Rfam family "Bacterial small subunit ribosomal RNA", at positions 29 to 507 of the family's 1533-position model. The record is from RNAcentral.